RNAcentral lists this ribosomal RNA (674 nucleotides) under Inocybe cf. pyriodora PRL5773. Its description in RNAcentral is "eukaryotic LSU rRNA". The stretch from base 272 to 425 matches the Rfam family "5.8S ribosomal RNA". The record is from RNAcentral. Lineage: Eukaryota; Fungi; Basidiomycota; Agaricomycetes; Agaricales; Inocybaceae.
CGUAGGUGACCUGCGGAGGAUCAUUAUUGAAUAAACUUGAACAGGCUGUUGCUGGCCCUUAGGGGUAUGUGCACGCUUGUCAAUCUUUAUUUCUCCAACUGUGCACAUAUUGUAGACCUGGAGAUUUUUUGUUGUUGUUGAUUUUGUUAUCGAGUUGGAACUGCUACUGCUGUUGCUGUUGCUUUUCCUUGAAAAUCCUUUCCAGGUCUAUGUACCUUUUUUCACAAACCUAUGAAUCUGUUUAGAAUAACAAAGUUGAAUUUAAAUAUACAACUUUCAGCAACGGAUCUCUUGGCUCUCGCAUCGAUGAAGAACGCAGCGAAAUGCGAUAAGUAAUGUGAAUUGCAGAAUUCAGUGAAUCAUCGAAUCUUUGAACGCAUCUUGCGCUCCUUGGUAUUCCUUGGAGCAUGCCUGUUUGAGUGUCAUUCAAGUUCUCAAACCAAAUUAGAUUGUGAUGUGGCUUGGAUGUGGGGGGUUUUUUUGUGCAGGCCUUUUUGUGAGGGUCAGCUCCCCUGAAAUGCAUUAGCGGUAUCUGAGCAGAGAAACUACCACAGGUGUGAUAAAUUUAUCUAUGCCUUGGUGAGCUGCAUGAACAGAUUGUGCUGCUUAUAACCAUAUUUUUGAUGAAAUUUGACCUCAAAUCAGGUAGGACUACCCGCUGAACUUAAGCAUAU